Molecule: ribosomal RNA, 765 nt
Filed under: uncultured Streptococcus sp.
Lineage: Bacteria; Bacillati; Bacillota; Bacilli; Lactobacillales; Streptococcaceae
Description: bacterial SSU rRNA
Rfam family: Bacterial small subunit ribosomal RNA
Source: RNAcentral
GAUGAACGCUGGCGGCGUGCCUAAUACAUGCAAGUAGAACGCUGAAGCUUGGUGCUUGCACCGAGCGGAGGAGUUGCGAACGGGUGAGUAACGCGUAGGUAACCUGCCUCUUAGCGGGGGAUAACUAUUGGAAACGAUAGCUAAUACCGCAUAAGAGUCGACAUUGCAUGAUGUUGACUUGAAAGGUGCAACUGCAUCACUAAGAGAUGGACCUGCGUUGUAUUAGCUAGUUGGUGAGGUAACGGCUCACCAAGGCGACGAUACAUAGCCGACCUGAGAGGGUGAUCGGCCACACUGGGACUGAGACACGGCCCAGACUCCUACGGGAGGCAGCAGUAGGGAAUCUUCGGCAAUGGACGGAAGUCUGACCGAGCAACGCCGCGUGAGUGAAGAAGGUUUUCGGAUCGUAAAGCUCUGUUGUAAGAGAAGAACGAGUGUGAGAGUGGAAAGUUCACACUGUGACGGUAACUUACCAGAAAGGGACGGCUAACUACGUGCCAACAGCCGCGGUAAUACGUAGGUCCCGAGCGUUAUCCGGAUUUAUUGGGCGUAAAGCGAGCGCAGGCGGUUAGAUAAGUCUGAAGUUAAAGGCUGUGGCUUAACCAUAGUACGCUUUGGAAACUGUUUAACUUGAGUGCAGAAGGGGAGAGUGGAAUUCCAUGUGUAGCGGUGAAAUGCGUAGAUAUAUGGAGGAACACCGGUGGCGAAAGCGGCUCUCUGGCUUGUAACUGACGCUGAGGCUCGAAAGCGUGGGGAGCAAACAGG